Molecule: ribosomal RNA, 253 nt
Filed under: uncultured bacterium
Lineage: Bacteria
Description: partial 16S ribosomal RNA
Rfam family: Bacterial small subunit ribosomal RNA
Source: RNAcentral
UACAGAGGGUGCGAGCGUUGUCCGGAAUCACUGGGCGUAAAGGGCGCGUAGGUGGCGGCAUAAGGCCGUGGUGAAAGUCUGGGGCUCAACCCCAGAUCGGCCGCGGCGACUGUGUCGCUUGGGCACCGUAGAGGCAGAUGGAAUUCCGGGUGUAGCGGUGGAAUGCGUAGAGAUCCGGAAGAACACCAGAGGCGAAGGCGGCCUGCUGGGCUGCACCUGACGCUGAGCCGCGAAAGCCAGGGGAGCGAACGGG